GGGGGUGAACCGGUUUUCGACUUGGUGUGAGAGGGGUAAUAAGCACGCGGAGGCGCGUUACCUCCUAAAAACGGCGCAAAACAAAUUAACUGAUAAAGAAGUAGACAACUAUUCCUUCGAAGGAAAUUUACAACUUCAAGCGGCAUAGCCCUUGGACGCAUUGCGGUGGCGAACUCUAAGUUACCGCAGGGCGAUACGAAAGGAGAGCAACCCUUUUCUCCGUCAAGAAGCAGAAAGGAAGCGGUGCGGAUUAGUCCGCAUAAAAAUCUUGUCUUGUAGGGAGCGGCGGGAGAUAAUCCCCGUCCCCGACGAGCGGCGCGUGAACGCCGGAAAUAACGAUUAUCUAAACGUGUAGAAAGUUACCUUGUUAGCAUUAAGGACAGGAGUUCGACUCUCCUCACCUCCACCA
Molecule: transfer-messenger RNA, 409 nt
Filed under: Christensenellaceae bacterium
Lineage: Bacteria; Bacillati; Bacillota; Clostridia; Christensenellales; Christensenellaceae
Rfam family: transfer-messenger RNA
About the family: Bacterial tmRNA, also known as 10Sa RNA or SsrA, is named for its dual tRNA and mRNA-like properties.
Source: RNAcentral